ACAUACACCAGAUCGGCGCAGAGAUGCGUUUCCCUUGUGGUUGGUGGUACAGGUGGUGCAUGGUUGUCGUCAGCUCGUGUCGUGAGAUGUUGGGUUAAGUCCCGCAACGAGCGCAACCCUUGUCUUAUGUUGCCAGCACGUGAUGGUGGGGACGUCAUGAGAGACUGCCGGGGUUAACUCGGAGGAAGGUGGGGAUGACGUCAAAUCAUCAUGCCCCUUAUGUCCAGGGCUUCACACAUGCUACAAUGGUCGGUACAACGCGUGUGCGACACUGUGAGGUGAAGCUAAUCGCUCUAAAGCCGGUCGUAGUUCGGAUUGGGGUCCGCAACUCGACCCCAUGAAGUCGGAGUCGCUAGUAAUCGCAGAUCAGCAACGCUGCGGUGAAUACGUUCCCGGGCCUU
This 401-nucleotide ribosomal RNA is filed under the name uncultured Corynebacterium sp. RNAcentral describes it as "bacterial SSU rRNA". It matches the Rfam family "Bacterial small subunit ribosomal RNA", at positions 984 to 1382 of the family's 1533-position model. The record is from RNAcentral. Lineage: Bacteria; Bacillati; Actinomycetota; Actinomycetes; Mycobacteriales; Corynebacteriaceae.